AAAGAAACCAACAGGGAUUGCCCUAGUAACGGCGAGUGAAGCGGCAACAGCUCAAAUUUGAAAUCUGGCCUCGGCCCGAGUUGUAAUUUGCAGAGGAUGCUUCUGGCGCGGUGCCUUCCGAGUUCCCUGGAACGGGACGCCACAGAGGGUGAGAGCCCCGUAUGGUCGGACACCAAGCCUGUGUGAAGCUCCUUCGACGAGUCGAGUAGUUUGGGAAUGCUGCUCUAAAUGGGAGGUAAAUCUCUUCUAAAGCUAAAUACCGGCCAGAGACCGAUAGCGCACAAGUAGAGUGAUCGAAAGAUGAAAAGCACCUUGAAAAGGGGGUUAAAUAGUACGUGAAAUUGUUGAAAGGGAAGCACUUAUGACCAGACUUGGGCCGGGCGGCUCAUCAGGGGUUCUCCCCUGUGCACUCCGCCCGGCACAGGCCAGCAUCGGUUCUCGUGGGGGGAUAAGACCGUCAGGAACGUAGCACCCUCCGGGGUGUGUUAUAGCCUGGCGGACGAUACCCCCGUGGGACCGAGGUCCGCGCUCCGCAAGGAUGCUGGCGUA
This 549-nucleotide ribosomal RNA is filed under the name Phomopsis sp. PSS17. RNAcentral's name for it is "eukaryotic LSU rRNA". It matches the Rfam family "Eukaryotic large subunit ribosomal RNA", at positions 58 to 633 of the family's 3401-position model. The record is from RNAcentral. Lineage: Eukaryota; Fungi; Ascomycota; Sordariomycetes; Diaporthales; Diaporthaceae.